CUCAAUGUCAUUCCUUUCACAGGUCCAAUGUCUGAUAUUCUUUUGGGAAGCUGGAUAUGAGGUUCUUCUCCAAGCUCAGUCUGAAAUGGUGAAAGCAGCCAAGUGCGGUGGCUCACGCCUGUAAUCUCAGCAUUUUGGGAGGCCGAGGUGGACGGAUCACCCGAGGUCAGGAGUUGAGACCAGCCUGGCCAACAUGAUGGAUACCUGUGACCAAACAUUGCAAGUUAAAGAUAUUUCUGAAUCUUGGACCUCUUAUUUACAGUGAAGCCCGGCCAUGCAUAAUAAAGCAGAGAG
This is a long non-coding RNA of Symphalangus syndactylus (siamang), 294 nucleotides long. RefSeq lists it as uncharacterized. The record is from RefSeq and is a predicted model, not a curated record. Lineage: Eukaryota; Metazoa; Chordata; Mammalia; Primates; Hylobatidae.